GACAUGCAAGUCGAACGAACUUAACCAUUAGUUUACUAUUGGAGCGGUUAGUGGCGGACUGGUGAGUAACACGUAAGCAACCUGCCUAUCAGAGGGGAGCAACAGUUAGAAAUGACUGCUAAUACCGCAUAUGCCUUGAGUAUCACAUGGUACAAAAGGGAAAGGAGCAAUCCGCUGAUAGAUGGGCUUGCGUCUGAUUAGAUAGUUGGUGAGGUAACGGCCCACCAAGUCGACGAUCAGUAGCCGGACUGAGAGGUUGAACGGCCACAUUGGGACUGAGAUACGGCCCAGACUCCUACGGGAGGCAGCAGUCGGGAAUAUUGCGCAAUGGAGGAAACUCUGACGCAGUGACGCCGCGUGCAGGAAGAAGGUUUUCGGAUUGUAAACUGCUUUAGACAGGGAAGAAACAAGACAGUACCUGUAGAAUAAGCUCCGGCUAACUACGUGCCAGCAGCCGCGGUAAUACGUAGGGAGCAAGCGUUAUCCGGAUUUAUUGGGUGUAAAGGGUGCGUAGACGGGAGAGCAAGUUAGUUGUGAAAUCCCUCAGCUCAACUGAGGAACUGCAACUAAAACUACUAUUCUUGAGUGCUGGAGAGGAAAGUGGAAUUCCUAGUGUAGCGGUGAAAUGCGUAGAUAUUAGGAGGAACACCAGUGGCGAAGGCGACUUUCUGGACAGUAACUGACGUUGAGGCACGAAAGUGUGGGGAGCAAACAGGAUUAGAUACCCUGGUAGUCCACACCGUAAACGAUGGAUACUAGGUGUAGGGUGUGAUAAACAUUCUGUGCCGUCGUA
This 793-nucleotide ribosomal RNA is filed under the name uncultured bacterium. RNAcentral's name for it is "bacterial SSU rRNA". It matches the Rfam family "Bacterial small subunit ribosomal RNA", at positions 52 to 853 of the family's 1533-position model. The record is from RNAcentral.